Molecule: non-coding RNA, 498 nt
Organism: Pelobates cultripes (western spadefoot toad)
Lineage: Eukaryota; Metazoa; Chordata; Amphibia; Anura; Pelobatidae
Source: the annotation of a GenBank genome assembly
CUCAUUUGAGAGUCUUGUAAAGCUGUUGUCCGUGUGUUAUUGCUUACAAAUGAUUCUCCAUCAACGUUGAUUAUGGUGACCGAGGGAUCGAGAACCGAGGGGAUUAGAGUCCAUUACAACAUUAACCCUUUCAGCUUGGUGUCUAGAAGUGGGAUAGAAGUUGGAUCAGCAAAACCAUUUGCGGUGAGUAGCCUUUUUGUGUCUUAUUUGACGCUGAUUGUCUAUGACCCCCGUUUGGUUCAGUAAGACUGUAUCCAGUAGAUAGGAAAGGUGUAAGGACUCUAGUUAUAUUGAGACUAUAAGAGGUCUCCGGUUUAUUAUAGGGUUUUGGUAACCCAGGUUAGUAUCUAAGAUAGAUACAGGGUAUCUCAGGUAGAUACAGGUUUUUGAGACCAUAAGAGGUCUCCGGUUUAUUAAGUCUAUAGGUGUUCUGAGCAGCACGGUUUGUAGAUCUAUAAGUAUAACCCAAACUUCUCUUUCUCCCGGUCACCUUUGUUU